Pteropus alecto (black flying fox) is the source of this 900-nucleotide RNA transcript. It is a transcript of the gene named methylsterol monooxygenase 1 pseudogene, with no coding region annotated. The record is from RefSeq and is a predicted model, not a curated record. The transcript has a single exon. NCBI's taxonomy places the organism in Eukaryota, Metazoa, Chordata, Mammalia, Chiroptera, Pteropodidae.
AUAAAGCUGUCUGCAGAGAUUUGAAAAAUGGCAAUAAAUGAAAGUGUCAGCAUCUUUGGUUCAGCAUCCUUGACUGUGGAUUAUGCAGUUUUACCUUUAGCUGAGAAUCCUCUGCAAAAACCAUUGAAAAAUGCUUGGAACUAUAUGUUAGAUAAUUAUACAAAGUUCUAGAUUGCAAUAUGGGGAUCCCUGAUAGUUUAUGAGGCCCUUUAUUUCUUGCUCAGUUUACCUGGAUUUUUGUUUCAAUUUAUACUUUACAUGAAAAAGUAUAAAAUUCAGAAGGAUAAACCAGAAACAUGGGAAGUCCAAAGGAAAUGCUUUUAAGUACUUCCCUUUAAUCCUUUUGUAUCCAUCUUCCUUUGAUUUGUGGAACUUAUUUUAGAGUAUUUCAACAUUCGUUAGGAUUGGGAAAGAAUGCCAAGAUGGUAUAGGCUUUUGGCAAGAUGCCCUGGUUGUGCGAUGAUUAAAGGUACCUGGCACUAUUUCGUACAUAGACUCUUACACGACAAAAGAAUAUAUAAAUAUAUUCAUGAAAGUCAUCAUGAGUUUCAGGCUCCAUUUGGGAUGGAAGCUGAAUAUGCACAUCCCCUGGAAACUCUAAUUCUUGGAACUGGAUUUUUCAUUGGAAUUAUUCUUUUAUGUGAUCAUAUAGUUCUUUGGGCAUGGAUGGCCAUUCAUUUGCUAGGAACUAUUGAUGUCCACAGUGGUUAGGAUAUUCCUCUCAACCCUUUAAAUCUCAUGCCUUUUUAUGAUGGUUCCUGGCAUCGUGAUUUUCACCACAUGACCUUCAUUAGCAACUAUGCUUCAACAUUCACAUGGUGGGAUAGGAUUUUUGGAACAGACUCUCAAUUUAUUGCCUACACUAAAAAGAUGAAGAAGAUUGAGAAAAAGACUGAAUAA